UUCAAGUGAAGAGUUUGAUCCUGGCUCAGAUUGAACGCUGGCGGCGUGCCUAACACAUGCAAGUCGAGCGGUAACAGGUGUAGCAAUACAUGCUGACGAGCGGCGAACGGGUGAGUAAUGCUUCGGAAUCUGCCCAAUGGUGGG
RNAcentral lists this ribosomal RNA (144 nucleotides) under Gammaproteobacteria bacterium. RNAcentral describes it as "partial 16S ribosomal RNA". It matches the Rfam family "Bacterial small subunit ribosomal RNA", at positions 1 to 140 of the family's 1533-position model. The record is from RNAcentral. Lineage: Bacteria; Pseudomonadati; Pseudomonadota; Gammaproteobacteria.